ACUCAAAUGAAUUGACGGGGGCCCGCACAAGCGGUGGAGUAUGUGGUUUAAUUCGACGCAACGCGAAGAACCUUACCAGCUCUUGACAUGUCCAUUAUGGGUCUGAGAGAUCAGAUCCUUCGGUUCGGCCGGGUGGAACACAGGUGCUGCAUGGCUGUCGUCAGCUCGUGUCGUGAGAUGUUGGGUUAAGUCCCGCAACGAGCGCAACCCUCAUCUUUAGUUGCUACCAGGUUAUGCUGGGCACUCUAAAGAAACCGCCGGUGAUAAGCCGGAGGAAGGCGGGGAUGACGUCAAGUCCUCAUGGCCCUUACGGGCUGGGCUACACACGUACUACAAUGGUGGUGACAGUGGGAAGCGAAAGCGCGAGCUGGAGCGAAUCCCCAAAAGCCAUCUCAGUUCAGAUUGCACUCUGCAACUCGAGUGCAUGAAGUUGGAAUCGCUAGUAAUCGUGGAUCAGAAUGCCACGGUGAAUACGUUCCCGGGCCUUGUACACACCGCCCGU
This 502-nucleotide ribosomal RNA is filed under the name uncultured bacterium. RNAcentral describes it as "partial 16S ribosomal RNA". It matches the Rfam family "Bacterial small subunit ribosomal RNA", at positions 899 to 1397 of the family's 1533-position model. The record is from RNAcentral.